AACAUUUGCUGAUUUUUUCAGAAAAAUCCCCCAGAGUGUAUAUACUGCUAUAACCCCUUAGACCUUGAGCCCAUGCCACAUGUGGUCAUCGAACGACCCAAAUUAACUGUGUUCAAAUCUGGAGUUCGAGAGGAGAGUAGUCCUGGUUUUAYAUGUAUAAAGUGUGCUAUGGAAAAGGCGCCAUACUUCGGGCCCCUUGUAAACCCUGUGUUACCAAGUAAAAAGAAGAAAAUGAUCGAGAAGGAAGAAGAGGAGGAAGAAGAGGACUAGAAACAAUGAACAGACUUCUUUUUAAAACAGACAAUUAGUACGUAGUAGUGACCUGCUACACACGAUCAUCAUCGUUAUAUCAAGUUUCUGUUACAGUUGUGCUCUGAAGGCUCAGUAUCACCCUGGAUGCUUUGURCACCGUGUGAUAAUUUUGUGUUGCACAAAAAAAAAUAUUUCAGUCUUYACAAACUUGUUGAGCUUUCAAUUAAAUUUCCACAGUCAACUUAAGUUCCAAGUCUAGACAAUCAGAGACAGUCCCUUAUUUUUAAAAUUAAACGGUCGCAAAGCAUCAAGGAUGACACUUGUGCUUUGACUUGCGCACAAAUGAAACGCUAACCUGUUAAUAAAGGCCCGUUUACACUUGCGAUUUUUGAAGCGAGAUUGUCGCGCGAUCAUCGCCUAAGUUUCGAAAAUCGUCGUGACAUUAAUAAUCACAGGGCUGUUUACAGGGGCGAGCUGAGGUGCGGCUGCAAAAAUUGCAAGUGUAAAUGAUGUCGCUUUCACUAGAUCUUCCUUUUUCCCAAAAAGAGAUCCAGUCGGAUAUUUAAAAAAGUCUCGUGUUUUAUUACAGAUAGGUACACAGUUAACAAAGGUUCUAUUUUAGAUUAUAAAUAAAGAUACAUAUUUGUGGA
Exaiptasia diaphana is the source of this 902-nucleotide long non-coding RNA. RefSeq lists it as uncharacterized. The transcript has 2 exons. NCBI's taxonomy places the organism in Eukaryota, Metazoa, Cnidaria, Anthozoa, Actiniaria, Aiptasiidae. The record is from RefSeq and is a predicted model, not a curated record.